RNAcentral lists this ribosomal RNA (253 nucleotides) under uncultured bacterium. Its description in RNAcentral is "partial 16S ribosomal RNA". It matches the Rfam family "Bacterial small subunit ribosomal RNA", at positions 524 to 776 of the family's 1533-position model. The record is from RNAcentral.
GACAGAGGGUGCAAGCGUUGUUCGGAAUCAUUGGGCGUAAAGCGCACGUAGGCGGUCAUGUAAGUCAGAUGUGAAAGCCCAGGGCUUAACCCUGGAAGUGCAUCUGAUACUGCAUGACUUGAGUCCCGGAGAGGGUGGUGGAAUCCCUGGUGUAGAGGUGAAAUUCGUAGAUAUCAGGAGGAACACCGGUGGCGAAGGCGGGUCUCUGGGCAACAACUGACGCUGAGGAGCGAAAGCGUGGGGAGCGAACAGG